This 466-nucleotide ribosomal RNA is filed under the name uncultured bacterium. RNAcentral's name for it is "partial 16S ribosomal RNA". It matches the Rfam family "Bacterial small subunit ribosomal RNA", at positions 28 to 507 of the family's 1533-position model. The record is from RNAcentral.
GAUGAACGCUGGCGGCGUGCUUAACACAUGCAAGUCGAACGGAAAGGCUCCUGCUUGCAGGGGUACUCGAGUGGCGAACGGGUGAGUAACACGUGGGUGAUCUGCCCUGCACUUCGGGAUAAGCCUGGGAAACUGGGUCUAAUACCGGAUAGGACGAUGGUUUGGAUGCCAUUGUGGAAAGUUUUUCGGUGUGGGAUGAGCUCGCGGCCUAUCAGCUUGUUGGUGGGGUAAUGGCCUACCAAGGCGUCGACGGGUAGCCGGCCUGAGAGGGUGUACGGCCACAUUGGGACUGAGAUACGGCCCAGACUCCUACGGGAGGCAGCAGUGGGGAAUAUUGAACAAUGGGCGCAAGCCUGAUGCAGCGACGCCGCGUGGGGGAUGACGGCCUUCGGGUUGUAAACUCCUUUCGCUAGGGACGAAGCGUUUUGUGACGGUACCUGGAGAAGAAGCACCGGCUAACUACGUG